This 468-nucleotide ribosomal RNA is filed under the name uncultured bacterium. RNAcentral's name for it is "partial 16S ribosomal RNA". It matches the Rfam family "Bacterial small subunit ribosomal RNA", at positions 28 to 507 of the family's 1533-position model. The record is from RNAcentral.
GACGAACGCUGGCGGCGUGCUUAACACAUGCAAGUCGAACGGAAAGGCCCUGCUUUUGUGGGGUGCUCGAGUGGCGAACGGGUGAGUAACACGUGAGUAACCUGCCCUUGACUUUGGGAUAACUUCAGGAAACUGGGGCUAAUACCGGAUAGGAGCUCCUGCUGCAUGGUGGGGGUUGGAAAGUUUCGGCGGUUGGGGAUGGACUCGCGGCUUAUCAGCUUGUUGGUGGGGUAGUGGCUUACCAAGGCUUUGACGGGUAGCCGGCCUGAGAGGGUGACCGGCCACAUUGGGACUGAGAUGCGGCCCAGACUCCUACGGGAGGCAGCAGUGGGGAAUUUUGCACAAUGGGCGGAAGCCUGAUGCAGCAACGCCGCGUGCGGGAUGACGGCCUUCGGGUUGUAAACCGCUUUCGCCUGUGACGAAGCGUGAGUGACGGUAAUGGGUAAAGAAGCACCGGCUAACUACGUG